RNAcentral lists this ribosomal RNA (448 nucleotides) under Escherichia coli. Its description in RNAcentral is "bacterial SSU rRNA". It matches the Rfam family "Bacterial small subunit ribosomal RNA", at positions 1 to 445 of the family's 1533-position model. The record is from RNAcentral. RNAcentral also lists the same sequence under 1 other name. Lineage: Bacteria; Pseudomonadati; Pseudomonadota; Gammaproteobacteria; Enterobacterales; Enterobacteriaceae.
AAAUUGAAGAGUUUGAUCAUGGCUCAGAUUGAACGCUGGCGGCAGGCCUAACACAUGCAAGUCGAACGGUAACAGGAAACAGCUUGCUGUUUCGCUGACGAGUGGCGGACGGGUGAGUAAUGUCUGGGAAACUGCCUGAUGGAGGGGGAUAACUACUGGAAACGGUAGCUAAUACCGCAUAAUGUCGCAAGACUAAAGAGGGGGACCUUCGGGCCUCUUGCCAUCGGAUGUGCCCAGAUGGGAUUAGCUAGUAGGUGGGGUAACGGCUCACCUAGGCGACGAUCCCUAGCUGGUCUGAGAGGAUGACCAGCCACACUGGAACUGAGACACGGUCCAGACUCCUACGGGAGGCAGCAGUGGGGAAUAUUGCACAAUGGGCGCAAGCCUGAUGCAGCCAUGCCGCGUGUAUGAAGAAGGCCUUCGGGUUGUAAAGUACUUUCAGCGGGGA